AUCAGACAGCUACACAUGUAGAACUGCUCGAUGAUGGCUUACGGACGGGGGUUCAAUUCCCCCCGGCUCCACCA
Molecule: transfer-messenger RNA, 74 nt
Filed under: Aquabacterium sp.
Lineage: Bacteria; Pseudomonadati; Pseudomonadota; Betaproteobacteria; Burkholderiales; Sphaerotilaceae
Description: partial transfer-messenger RNA
Rfam family: transfer-messenger RNA
About the family: Bacterial tmRNA, also known as 10Sa RNA or SsrA, is named for its dual tRNA and mRNA-like properties. Its role is to liberate the mRNA from a stalled ribosome.
Source: RNAcentral